GCUGGGCAUGGUGGCAUGCACCUGUAGUCCCAGCUAUUCAGGAGGCCUGAGCCCAGGAGUUCUGGGCUGUAGUGCACUAUACCAAUCAGGUGUCCGCACUAAGUUUAGCAUCAAUAAGGUAUACCCCCAGGGAGCUGGGGACCACCAGGUUGCCUAAGAAUGGGUGAACCGUUCCGGGUCGGAAAUGGAGCAGGUCAAAGUUCCCAUGCAGAUCAGUAGUGGGAUCAUGCCUAUGUACAGCCACUGCACUCCAGCCUGGGCAACAUAGU
Molecule: signal recognition particle RNA, 269 nt
Filed under: Homo sapiens (human)
Lineage: Eukaryota; Metazoa; Chordata; Mammalia; Primates; Hominidae
Description: Metazoan signal recognition particle RNA
Rfam family: Metazoan signal recognition particle RNA
About the family: The signal recognition particle (SRP) is a universally conserved ribonucleoprotein. It is involved in the co-translational targeting of proteins to membranes.
Source: Rfam by way of RNAcentral